RNAcentral lists this ribosomal RNA (405 nucleotides) under uncultured bacterium. RNAcentral's name for it is "partial 16S ribosomal RNA". It matches the Rfam family "Bacterial small subunit ribosomal RNA", at positions 30 to 526 of the family's 1533-position model. The record is from RNAcentral.
AUUGAACGCUAGCGGGAUGCUUUACACAUGCAAGUCGAACGAGUGGCGGACGGGUGAGUAAUAUAUCGGAACUUGCCCAGUAGCGGGGGAUAACUUCUCGAAAGCGUGGCUAAUACCGCCUACUUUUGGAGCGGCCCAUAUCGGAUUAGCUAGUUGGUGGGGUAAAGGCCAACCAAGGCAACGAUCCGUAGCUGGUUUGAGAGGACGACAAGCCAAACUGGGACUGAGACACGGCCCAGACUCCUACGGGAGGCAGCAGUGGGGAAUUUUGGACAAUGGGGGAAAGCCUGAUCCAGCCAUGCCGCGUGUAUGAGAAGGCCUUCGGGUUGUAAAGUACUGUUGGCAGAGAAGCGGUAUCUGCAGAAUAAGCACCGGCUAACUACGUGCCAGCCGCCGCGGUAAUAC